AACAUAUGCAAUGAUAUUUACCAAUGACGUAUAUAUAGAGCUAGACCGCUCACUGGCCGCUGAGAGACGGUAAAUAGGAGCUGACUUCCGGUAGUGGCAAGAAGUGGUUUCAGAAUGGAACGCCAGCACGGUGGGUGUGGCUAAUAUCUGACCAUGGUGAAGUCGUGUGCUGCCAUCUCCUGCACUAAUCCAUUUGGAAUAUUUCCUUUCAUAAGUUUUCCAAGCAGUCCAAGGACAGCACACUGAGAGAUCAAUGGAUACAGGCCAUCAGCAGAGAAGUGGUGAGGACCAAGAGGAGAUGAUCAUAAUUAUGUCUGCAGCAACCAUUUCAGGGAGGAGGACUUCAUCCUCUCAAAACAUGCGCAACACAAGCUUCUCAGGCCAGGAGCUGUACCAGCCCUCAGUUUGGGGAAACCAGAGAAAAAGAUGAGGACAACCCAAAGCAGCCCGGCAGCAGUGGCAUUAUACCAGCACAUGGACAUGGAGCCUGAACUAGAGUCUGAAGAGGGCAGUGCUGCUGUUAGUGAACACCAUGCAUACUGUACAGACAGCGACACCCUGAAGAGGAAAUAUGACGGUCUAAGUGUACAGCAUGAAAAGCUGAGGCAGGACUUCAACAAUGCCAAACGUAGAGAGAAGCACACUGUAAAUUUGACGAACAUCAAGCUACAAGGAGUGUCUGUGAGGAAGUCCUUUACUAAAACAGUUCUAUUUAGAAAUCAGUGACUUUCCAAUAUCCUUAUUAUUUCCAGCAAUGCUUAUAAAUUCCUGUAUUUUGUGUAAAAACUCCUGGAUAUUUUGAAGCCUUUUGACGCACUGAAAAUUAGUAAUUUGUUCACUUUGUGAAAAUUAUGUAGGAAAGUACACUUUUGGUGAGAUUUUUAAAAAGCCAUGCAUCUUAUAUCGUCAAACUGCUUUUCUUGAAACAAUUUAGGCUAUUUCUGGGAAAACAGGCUACUUCAUAAGUUUCAAACUGAAACAUUUUGUUUUUGCCCUAAAGUUGGCGUUUUAUAGCAAAUUGUUCAUGGACUUUUAUUGUGAAAUAUAUAUUUCCUACAAUACUCCUAUAUUUUCUCAGAGAAGACUUUUAUUUUCUCAUAUUUUUAUCUGUCAGGUGCACUUGAUACGCUGUAAAUAUUUUAUUGGAACACGGAUAUUUGCAACUGAAGCUAGAAGUGGUGUAACUAUUGUAAUGCAUUUAUCAACACAAACAUUUGUCUGGGGGGUGUAUUUUAUAUUUUUUGGUAACAAGUUGGAGCAGUAUUCUGUUGUAAAAAUAAAAUACUUUCAAUGGUU
This is a long non-coding RNA of Acanthochromis polyacanthus (spiny chromis), 1296 nucleotides long. RefSeq lists it as uncharacterized. The transcript is spliced from 4 exons. NCBI's taxonomy places the organism in Eukaryota, Metazoa, Chordata, Actinopteri, Pomacentridae. The record is from RefSeq and is a predicted model, not a curated record.